AUACGGAGGAUGCGAGCGUUAUCCGGAUUUAUUGGGUUUAAAGGGAGCGCAGACGGGUCGUUAAGUCAGCUGUGAAAGUUUGGGGCUCAACCUUAAAAUUGCAGUUGAUACUGGCGUCCUUGAGUGCGGUUGAGGUGUGCGGAAUUCGUGGUGUAGCGGUGAAAUGCUUAGAUAUCACGAAGAACUCCGAUUGCGAAGGCAGCACACUAAUCCGUAACUGACGUUCAUGCUCGAAAGUGUGGGUAUCAAACAGGAUUAGAUACCCUGGUAGUCCACACGGUAAACGAUGGAUACUCGCUGUUGGCGAUAUACUGUCAGCGGCUUAGCGAAAGCGUUAAGUAUCCCACCUGGGGAGUACGCCGGCAACGGUGAAACUCAAAGGAAUUGACGGGGGCCCGCACAAGCGGAGGAACAUGUGGUUUAAUUCGAUGAUACGCGAGGAACCUUACCCGGGCUUAAAUUGCAAAGGAAUAAUCUGGAAACAGAUUAGUCUUCGGACCUUUGUGAAGGUGCUGCAUGGUUGUCGUCAGCUCGUGCCGUGAGGUGUCGGCUUAAGUGCCAUAACGAGCGCAACCCUCGCCGCCAGUUACUAGCAGGUAAUGCUGAGGACUCUGGCGGGACUGCCAUCGUAAGAUGUGAGGAAGGUGGGGAUGACGUCAAAUCAGCACGGCCCUUACGUCCGGGGCUACACACGUGUUACAAUGGGCGGUACAGAAGGCAGCUACCUGGCGACAGGAUGCCAAUCCCUAAAGCCGCUCUCAGUUCGGACUGGAGUCUGCAACCCGACUCCACGAAGCUGGAUUCGCUAGUAAUCGCGCAUCAGCCACGGCGCGGUGAAUACGUUCCCGGGCCUUGUACACACCGCCCGUCAAGCCAUGAAAGCCGGGGGUACCUGAAGUGCGUAACCGCAAGGAGCGCCCUAGGGUAAAACCGGUAAUUGGGGCU
This 945-nucleotide ribosomal RNA is filed under the name uncultured bacterium. RNAcentral describes it as "bacterial SSU rRNA". It matches the Rfam family "Bacterial small subunit ribosomal RNA", at positions 523 to 1482 of the family's 1533-position model. The record is from RNAcentral.